This 483-nucleotide ribosomal RNA is filed under the name uncultured bacterium. RNAcentral's name for it is "partial 16S ribosomal RNA". It matches the Rfam family "Bacterial small subunit ribosomal RNA", at positions 28 to 507 of the family's 1533-position model. The record is from RNAcentral.
GAUGAACGCUGGCGGCGUGCCUAACACAUGCAAGUCGAACGAAGCUUGACGGAUGAUUUCUUCGGAAUGAAACCAGAUAUGACUUAGUGGCGGACGGGUGAGUAACACGUGAGCAACCUGCCUUUCAGGGGGGGAUAACGGCUGGAAACGGUCGCUCAUACCGCAUGAUGUGUUCGGAUGGCAUCAUCUGAACCUCAAAGAUUUAUCGCUGAAAGAUGGGCUCGCGUCUGAUUAGAUAGUUGGUGGGGUAACGGCCUACCAAGUCUACGAUCAGUAGCCGGACUGAGAGGUUGAACGGCCACAUUGGGACUGAGAUACGGCCCAGACUCCUACGGGAGGCAGCAGUGGAGAAUAUUGCACAAUGGGCGAAACCCUGAUGAAGCAACGCCGCGUGAAGGAUGACGGUUUUCGGAUUGUAAACUUCUUUUCUUAGUGACGAAGACAGUGACGGUAGCUAAGGAAUAAGCAUCGGCUAACUACGUG